RNAcentral lists this long non-coding RNA (1746 nucleotides) under Daphnia magna. Its description in RNAcentral is "uncharacterized LOC116933408, transcript variant X1". The record is from RNAcentral. Lineage: Eukaryota; Metazoa; Arthropoda; Branchiopoda; Diplostraca; Daphniidae.
AAGUUGUUAAAUCUGUUGGAAUGGAUCUAAACAAAUUACAAUUAAAAACCAUUUCUUUUAAGUCGAGAAUUAUAUCAAAUUUCAAGACGUUCAGUGAGCAAUCGUACUUAAAAAAUAUGCUGAUACAUAAUAUGGAGCUUAGUUGAAGAUGUCUCAACAGAAAACAUGAGUAAGGGAAAAGAACUCGGGAACCAUGCUCGUGGGAUUCGAUCGUGCUAAAGUGUGUAUUUUAUUCAAGAUUAAACUGGAACGGUUUUUAGUAAGGGGAAAAUGAAGCUCACCCAACCAGACAGGCUGUGUGUGAGAAAUCAUGACUACCGAGGAAUCUGUUGUUGACUACAAUCUUUACCAGUGCCAGGAAUCUAUGUUAUUGAUGUAAGUGACUUUUGUGUUUAAUUCAAGUUUUCAACAUUUUCCCAUCCAUGUUCAUAGCAUUUCUUUGACCUGACAUUCAUUCAGUACUAUAUGCCACAGUGAUAUUUUAUAUUCUAAAGUGUAAAUUGUAACCAAAAAGGCCUUUUACGUUACAGUCUGAUGACUGUAAAGGUAUUAGUCACUUAUGAUAUACGUACUAUAAAUCCCACGCGCUUAAAGAUAAUAGAUUUUGGGUGGUUUCAGAGUAACUUUCUGCUUCAUAGAACCCGUUUGUAUUAGUUCAAGUCGUGAGUCAACUGCAAUGUAUUUCCGAUGUUUAGAUUAUAGGCAUACGACUCAUAUCUAGAUAACAGUUUGUCCUUGUAGAAAUAAGCGUCAUGUAUAGAGGGUUCCCUCACCAACAGUUACCUAUUCGAUUGAUACGGUCUCAUUCGCUUACCUGGGCCAAAUCGUAGUUUUUUUUCCCCCUUUCAAUCUUGCUACGUGAUACUUUUGCGCAAAUCACAUUGUUCCCGUUCAAUUUCUGCAUUAUUGUAAUCGAUUAAAACCAUGGAAAAAAUUCUAGCUUCAGCCGACUUAUUUGUGGGUCUUUUUGGCAUUCAGCUUGCAGGUAAUUUCUCGUUGUUACUAAUCCCACUUACGACGUCAACUAUAUCUAUGACCUUAUUUAUUCAUGAUGUGAAUCAAGUAUCGGCGUUGGCGAUUUAUUCUAAUUGGGUUUUAAAUUUUAAACGAAAUUAUUAGAUUGAAAUCGAGUUAAGUUGUGAUGAGCAUGGCUGUAUUCGCUUCGUUGAUUGGUUUCACGUUAAUAGGAUUGUAUUCUUGGAGUAUUGAUGGCUACCAGGGUUUGAUUGCAGACUGUGAAUUGUAUUCUAGCAAUUCAACGGUGAACAAUUCUACAAUGGUCAACAAUUCUACAGUAGAAAAAGUGUAUCCCGACAUUUUCAGUCCUCUCAAAAUAUGGCGUCGAUUCUUUGAUGAUCGUUUGUGGUAUUCUGGCUUUUAUCAUCAACGGGUUCAUAGCUGCAACUGCUUCAUCUAUCACUUCCUAAAAUUUACUUAAAUCGAUCAUAAAUCUGAAGUACUUGGAUGUGUCUCUUGUUCAGUCCUAUACAAGUGCAUGAAUGAAAACUGUACAUAAAUUGUAAAAAAGGCACAAUUAAACAUUUGGUUUGAUUAACAAAUUUCCGUUCCAAUUUUUAUCUUGUAUAAUUUUGCUAAGAGUUUGUAUACGUUAUCUCAGUCUAACGGUUCUAAAUUGCGACAUAUUCCCUAUGUUUUCAGAGACAGGGUCUGUGUUUAAAAAUUCCUUUUAUCUCUGUUUAUGUUUAUCAUCAGACAUACUGGGCAUUACAAUCGCUUGAUAGUUUU